AUACGGAGGAUGCGAGCGUUAUCCGGAUUUAUUGGGUUUAAAGGGUGCGUAGGCUGUGCGUUAAGUCAGGGGUGAAAUGCCGUCGCUCAACGACGGAGCUGCCCUUGAUACUGGCGUGCUGGAGUACGGAUGCCGUUGGAGGAAUGAGUGGUGUAGCGGUGAAAUGCUUAGAUAUCACUCAGAACACCGAUUGCGAAGGCAUCUGACGAAUCCGUCACUGACGCUGAUGCACGAAAGUGUGGGGAUCAAACAGGAUUAGAUACCCUGGUAGUCCACACUGUAAACGAUGAUAACUCGCUGUCGGCGAUACAUAGUCGGUGGCCAAGCGAAAGCGAUAAGUUAUCCACCUGGGGAGUACGACCGCAAGGUUGAAACUCAAAUGAAUUGACGGGG
RNAcentral lists this ribosomal RNA (393 nucleotides) under uncultured bacterium. Its description in RNAcentral is "partial 16S ribosomal RNA". It matches the Rfam family "Bacterial small subunit ribosomal RNA", at positions 523 to 918 of the family's 1533-position model. The record is from RNAcentral.